This 950-nucleotide ribosomal RNA is filed under the name uncultured bacterium. RNAcentral's name for it is "bacterial SSU rRNA". It matches the Rfam family "Bacterial small subunit ribosomal RNA", at positions 523 to 1482 of the family's 1533-position model. The record is from RNAcentral.
AUACGUAGGUGGCGAGCGUUAUCCGGAAUUAUUGGGCGUAAAGAGGGAGCAGGCGGCACUAAGGGUCUGUGGUGAAAGAUCGAAGCUUAACUUCGGUAAGCCAUGGAAACCGUAGAGCUAGAGUGUGUGAGAGGAUCGUGGAAUUCCAUGUGUAGCGGUGAAAUGCGUAGAUAUAUGGAGGAACACCAGUGGCGAAGGCGACGAUCUGGCGCAUAACUGACGCUCAGUCCCGAAAGCGUGGGGAGCAAAUAGGAUUAGAUACCCUAGUAGUCCACGCCGUAAACGAUGAGUACUAAGUGUUGGGAGUCAAAUCUCAGUGCUGCAGUUAACGCAAUAAGUACUCCGCCUGAGUAGUACGUUCGCAAGAAUGAAACUCAAAGGAAUUGACGGGGGCCCGCACAAGCGGUGGAGCAUGUGGUUUAACUCGAAGCAACGCGAAGAACCUUACCAGGUCUUGACAUCGAUCUAAAGGCUCCAGAGAUGGAGAGAUAGCUAUAGAGAAGACAGGUGGUGCAUGGUUGUCGUCAGCUCGUGUCGUGAGAUGUUGGGUUAAGUCCCGCAACGAGCGCAACCCCUGUUGCCAGUUGCCAGCAUUAAGUUGGGGACUCUGGCGAGACUGCCGGUGACAAGCCGGAGGAAGGCGGGGAUGACGUCAAAUCAUCAUGCCCCUUAUGACCUGGGCUACACACGUGCUACAAUGGACAGAGCAGAGGGAAGCGAAGCCGCGAGGUGGAGCGAAACCCAUAAAACUGUUCUCAGUUCGGACUGCAGUCUGCAACUCGACUGCACGAAGAUGGAAUCGCUAGUAAUCGCGAAUCAGCAUGUCGCGGUGAAUACGUUCUCGGGCCUUGUACACACCGCCCGUCACACCAUGAGAGUCGGUAACACCCGAAGCCGGUGGCCUAACCGCAAGGAAGGAGCUGUCUAAGGUGGGACUGAUGAUUGGGGUG